This is an RNA transcript of Alosa sapidissima (American shad), 2245 nucleotides long. It is a transcript of the gene named transmembrane protein 80-like, with no coding region annotated. The record is from RefSeq and is a predicted model, not a curated record. NCBI's taxonomy places the organism in Eukaryota, Metazoa, Chordata, Actinopteri, Clupeiformes, Clupeidae. The transcript is spliced from 7 exons.
UCUGCACUAAAUAGUCUAUCCUAACGUGAGAUUUAAUUAUUUUUUUUCACGAAUGCAAGACAACAUUUUGUGAUAAAUUAAUAUUUAUGUCUUAUUUACGAAAAGUAGUGUUAUCGAUUUCACCGACGUUCACUCAACCAACACCAGCCUGUCUGCAUUUGGGAUGUCUUCUUCCUACCAAGAGCUCCGUGGUGCUCUCCUCUGUCCUGCUCCAGCUGGUUUUCUAUAUUACAGGAAUCUACUAUGUCAUUUACUUCCUGUCUUCUGUCAGCCUAAUCAUCUACAAGAGCUACGUGCUGAGCUACCCCGAUAGGCACCUGGCAGUGGACCUGUUCCUCCUCUUCAUCAUGGCUGUGCUGGAGGGCCUACGUCUCUACUGGGGUGUGUGCGGUAACCUGACGGAGAGCGAGGGCUACAUCAGCAUGAAUCUGGGCUCCACAGUGGGCUCCGUCAUGCUGGCUGUCUACUUCCUGGUGUGGCAGUCCUACGUGCUGCGCGCCGAUGUCAUCAUCAACGGCAUCCUUCUGGCCGGCUACGGCCUCAACGGCCUGCUGGGACUCUUCACCUUUGCCCGUUUCAGCAGUGUCUACACCUGAGAGGGUCUUUCAGCUUCCCAUGAUGCUCUCUGCUGAGGUGCUGCUGUAGUGACCUGGGCAGGCCUGUCCGUCACCUACGAGCUGAGAGAGAGAGAGAUGUGUGUGUGUGUGUGUGUGUGUGUGUGUGUGUGUGUGUGUGUGUGAACCCAUGAGUGAAAUACAGGUCUUUUGUGUGUGUGUGUGUGUGUGUGUGUGUGUGAACCCAUGAGUGAAAUACAGACUGUGGACCGUUCGAGUCGUUGUGAAUGCAGACCACCCUAUCAGUGAGAAACAGACAUGUUGCACUGCAAGAGAGAGAACAGGGACUGAGACUCUCUCACCCUCUAUUCUAUCUCUCCCCCCCCCCUCUCUCUCUCUGACAUCAUGUGUCUGAUCACCAAUAGCUAUGCUGGGUGAAACUGUUUGCGUUCCUGUCACCCGUUCCAUCUGCAGCAUGCCAUCGAGAGGUGGGGCUUUGUGUUCCGGAUGAAUACACUUGUAGGCAAGGACGGGUCAACUACUAGAGCACCACUGGAGAGUGUGAGUGGUCUCUCUGAUCUCCUGUGUGUGUGUGUGUGUGUGUGUGUGAGAGUUAGGGGAGCUUAGCUAAGUGCCUCGGCAGGUGAAUGUCUGUGUUAGCAUAUAUAUGCGUGUGUGUGUUUGAGAUGUGUUGUUAACUGCUGCUAACUUAAUUUGAAACGGAUCAUGGUGCAGCUUUAUGUUUCCAUCUUACAGCAGUGUGCUCUCCACACACACACAUCUUUACAGAGCACACUCAGGGACAGACGUCUCUGUAAGCUGUGUGGUAAACAUGGGGAAGUGUAAAUUAGAGGGACACACGUAUAGUCCAUUAUAUGGAAUACAGUAUGUCCAUGUGAAGUAGCCUGGCCCCACCCACCUAGAUCUUCUUUCAGGAAGAUCUCGUUCAAAACCGUAUCCUACAGACAAGAAAAAUGUCAGGCCAAUCAGCGACAAGAGGGGAUGACGAAACUGAAACUUAGUGUGAUAAACAGAAGCAGCCAACACCUGCAAACAAAAUUUAUUUACAGCAAAGAUAGACCCACAUUGUUUAUUGUCUGUAGGUGCCUUUUAUUGUCAGUUUGUAGGGGUAGUAUGAACUAACGUUAGGAAUCUCUGAUCAAUGGGAUUGAUAAGGCUGGACUAAUGAUUUCAAAGUUAGUGCCCGUGUUGCAAACGUUUCCCAGUCGAGAGUCACCAGACUCUAUUAACUUUGUGAAUGAGUUUGGAUUUUUCCAGACUACAUGUGAAGGCUAGGGGGGCUGUUCACUAAGAUAUCUCAUAGGGUAAGGGGGCGUUCGCAGGGGAAUGUCUAGCUCUCAGAGCGGAAGGCUUUUAUGCUGGGGAUUCUCACUCAACACACCAUAUCUGUGAGGAUGAUGAGUUGUACUGACAAAAACAUCUCGAAUUGUGCUAUAUCAUAACAGCAGUGAAUAGUGGUGUGUGUUGUGACAUUUUCUCUGUGUGUGUGUGUGUGUGUGUGUUAGAGAGUGAGAGAUAGCGAUAGCUAGACAGGAGGAUUAUAGAAGGGGCAGAGGAGAUAUUUGAUAGGCGCAGACUAAGACUUCGCUCUAGAGUUGCUCUCAUCCCUCAGCACUGACAGCCCAGUUAAUGAUCAACCUCCAGCCAAGGUCUCCCGAGCGACUAAAUCA